Long non-coding RNA from Salvia miltiorrhiza (redroot sage), 482 nucleotides. RefSeq lists it as uncharacterized. The record is from RefSeq and is a predicted model, not a curated record. The transcript is spliced from 3 exons. Lineage: Eukaryota; Viridiplantae; Streptophyta; Magnoliopsida; Lamiales; Lamiaceae.
AUUCCAUUCAUUUUCACUCCAAGAAAGUGCUAAGGCAAGAAAGUGCUCUCACUCUCUUCUCCCCUCUCCAUUUUCGUCCCUCCACAUCUCCCCCGCUCCCAAGACUCUUCUCCCACCAUUAUCACACUCCAUAGAAGCCCUUGAAGCCCCAAGAGAAGUAUCAAAGCAAGGGAAAGCAUGGGAAAACUAGGGCGUAAAGUUAGAGUGAAGGUUGUGCUUCGAGGGAAUUGGUUCACAGGACGGUACCACCGCUUAAGAUCACCUCUCUUCCGCACUGAGGAUCAGGUUGAGCAGUGGCUGAUGGAGAUGAAGUGAAGAGCGAAGCUUUUGUCAUAGGUUAAAUGAAUGAACUCUUGGAUACAUGUCUUCAUACAUGUAAUCAGAUUAUGUUAUUCCGCUGCGUACUCUUAGGUCUUAUGUUCUUUCAGUUAAGCCAGUUUUAUCUGAACCUACAAGCCUGUUCGAGUCUUGUGACUAAACAU